This 407-nucleotide ribosomal RNA is filed under the name uncultured bacterium. RNAcentral's name for it is "partial 16S ribosomal RNA". It matches the Rfam family "Bacterial small subunit ribosomal RNA", at positions 28 to 526 of the family's 1533-position model. The record is from RNAcentral.
GACGAACGCUGGCGGCGUGCCUAAUACAUGCAAGUAGAACGCAGUUGAGAACGUGUGAGUAACGCGUAGGUAACUGCCUGGUAGCGGGGGAUAACUAUUGGAAACGAUAGCUAAUACCGCAUACUACCAGAUGGACCUGCGUUGUAUUAGCUAGUUGGUGAGGUAACGGCUCACCAAGGCAACGAUACAUAGCCGACCUGGGAGGGGGGUCGGCCAAACUGGGACUUAGACACGGCUCCGACUCCUACGGGAGGGAGCAGUAGGGAAACUUCGGCCAUGGGGGGAACCCUGACCGAGCAACUGCGCGGGAGUGAAGAAGGUUUUCGGAUCGGAAAGCUCUGUUGUUAAGGAAGCGUUACCUAACCAGAAAGGAACGGCUAACUACGUGCCAGCAGCCGCGGUAAUAC